This 514-nucleotide ribosomal RNA is filed under the name uncultured bacterium. RNAcentral describes it as "bacterial SSU rRNA". It matches the Rfam family "Bacterial small subunit ribosomal RNA", at positions 8 to 518 of the family's 1533-position model. The record is from RNAcentral.
AGAGUUUGAUUAUGGCUCAGGAUGAACGCUAGCGGCAGGCCUAAUACAUGCAAGUCGGACGGUAAAUGCCCCUCGGGGGCAUGAGAGUGGCGGACGGGUGCGUAACGCGUAUGCAACCCACCCCCGACGGGCGGAUAGCCGGUGGAAACGCCGGAUAAGCCGCCAUGCGACCCUGGAGGGGCAUCCCUACGGGGCCAAAGCGGAGACGCGGUGGGGACGGGCAUGCGUCCCAUUAGAUAGUAGGCGGGGCGACGGCCCACCUAGUCGACGAUGGGUAGGGGAUCUGAGAGGACGGUCCCCCACACUGGUACUGAGACACGGACCAGACUCCUGCGGGAGGCAGCAGUAAGGGAUAUUGGGCAAUGGGGGAAACCCUGACCCAGCCAAUGCCGCGUGAGGGAAGUAGGCCCUACGGGUCGUGAACCUCUUUUACACGGGGACAAGGACGGCGUCGUGAACGCCGUUUGAGGGUACCGUGGGAAUAAGCGUCGGCUAACUCCGUGCCAGCCGCAGC